Molecule: ribosomal RNA, 437 nt
Filed under: uncultured bacterium
Lineage: Bacteria
Description: bacterial SSU rRNA
Rfam family: Bacterial small subunit ribosomal RNA
Source: RNAcentral
UAACGCGAAGAACCUUACCAAGGCUUGACAUGAACCGGAAACACCUGGAAACAGGUGCCCCGCUUGCGGUCGGUUUACAGGUGGUGCAUGGUUGUCGUCAGCUCGUGUCGUGAGAUGUUGGGUUAAGUCCCGCAACGAGCGCAACCCUCGUUCUAUGUUGCCAGCGCGUUAUGGCGGGGACUCAUAGGAGACUGCCGGGGUCAACUCGGAGGAAGGUGGGGACGACGUCAAAUCAUCAUGCCCCUUAUGUCUUGGGCUUCACGCAUGCUACAAUGGCCGGUACAAAGGGUUGCGAUACUGUGAGGUGGAGCUAAUCCCAAAAAGCCGGUCUCAGUUCGGAUUGGGGUCUGCAACUCGACCCCAUGAAGUCGGAGUCGCUAGUAAUCGCAGAUCAGCAACGCUGCGGUGAAUACGUUCCCGGGUCUUGUACACACCGA